RNAcentral lists this ribosomal RNA (253 nucleotides) under uncultured bacterium. RNAcentral describes it as "partial 16S ribosomal RNA". It matches the Rfam family "Bacterial small subunit ribosomal RNA", at positions 524 to 776 of the family's 1533-position model. The record is from RNAcentral.
UACGGGGGGGGCAAGCGUUGUUCGGAAUUACUGGGCGUAAAGGGCUCGUAGGCGGCCAACUAAGUCAGACGUGAAAUCCCUCGGCUUAACCGGGGAACUGCAUCUGAUACUGGAUGGCUUGAGUUCGGGAGAGGGAUGCGGAAUUCCAGGUGUAGCGAUGAAAUGCGUAGAUAUCUGGAGGAACACCGGUGGCGAAGGCGGCAUCCUGGACCGACACUGACGCUGAGGAGCGAAAGCCAGGGGAGCAAACGGG